GGGGGUGUAGCUCAGCUGGGAGAGCGCCUGCCUUGCACGCAGGAGGUCAUCGGUUCAAUCCCGUUCACCUCCACCA
RNAcentral lists this transfer RNA (76 nucleotides) under Pseudomonadota bacterium. RNAcentral describes it as "Proteobacteria bacterium tRNA-Ala". It matches the Rfam family "tRNA". From Rfam's summary of the family: Transfer RNA (tRNA) molecules are approximately 80 nucleotides in length. Their secondary structure includes four short double-helical elements and three loops (D, anti-codon, and T loops). Lineage: Bacteria; Pseudomonadati; Pseudomonadota. RNAcentral also lists the same sequence under 2 other names. The record is from RNAcentral.